UACAUACUUCUUCCGUCCAACAAAAGAUGUCUCAAGUUUGUCAAAAUUUGAAUGUAUCUAAACAUGACUUAGUGUAUAGAUGCAUUCAAAUUUAGGUAAAAUUGAGACAUCUUUUAUUGGACGGAGGGAUUACAUA
Non-coding RNA from Brachypodium distachyon (stiff brome), 136 nucleotides. The record is from Rfam. Lineage: Eukaryota; Viridiplantae; Streptophyta; Magnoliopsida; Poales; Poaceae.